This 233-nucleotide ribosomal RNA is filed under the name uncultured Diaphorobacter sp. RNAcentral describes it as "partial 16S ribosomal RNA". Lineage: Bacteria; Pseudomonadati; Pseudomonadota; Betaproteobacteria; Burkholderiales; Comamonadaceae. The record is from RNAcentral.
CACGUAGUUAGCCGGUGCUUAUUCUUACGGUACCGUCAUGACCUCUCUUUAUUAGAAAGAGGCUUUUCGUUCCGUACAAAAGCAGUUUACAACCCGAAGGCCUUCAUCCUGCACGCGGCAUGGCUGGAUCAGGCUUUCGCCCAUUGUCCAAAAUUCCCCACUGCUGCCUCCCGUAGGAGUCUGGGCCGUGUCUCAGUUCCCAGUGUGGCCUAGUCGUACCCUCUCAGGUACCG